Molecule: ribosomal RNA, 500 nt
Filed under: uncultured bacterium
Lineage: Bacteria
Description: bacterial SSU rRNA
Rfam family: Bacterial small subunit ribosomal RNA
Source: RNAcentral
AUUGAACGCUGGCGGCAGGCCUAACACAUGCAAGUCGAGCGUGAAAGGGCUUCGGCCUGAGUAAAGCGGCGGACGGGUGAGUAACGCGUAGGAAUCUACCUGGUAGUGGGGGAUAACGUUCCGAAAGGAACGCUAAUACCGCAUACGUUCUGAGGAAGAAAGCAGGGGACUGCAAGGCCUUGCGCUAUCAGAUGAGCCUGCGUCCGAUUAGCUAGUUGGUAGGGUAAAGGCCUACCAAGGCGACGAUCGGUAACUGGUCUGAGAGGAUGAUCAGUCACACUGGAACUGAGACACGGUCCAGACUCCUACGGGAGGCAGCAGUGGGGAAUAUUGGACAAUGGGGGGCAACCCUGAUCCAGCCAUGCCGCGUGUGUGAAGAAGGCCUCGGGUUGUAAAGCACUUUAAGCGGGGAGGAAGGCCGUGAUGGCUAAUAUCCAUCAGGAUUGACGUUACCGCCAGAAUAAGCACCGGCAAACUUACGUGCCAGCAGCCGCGGUAAU